AUGGCGCUCUCCGACCUUUCCCGCGACUCGCUCCUCCCCAGCUUCCUCUACUCCCCGCGCUCCUUCGCUGCCGCCUCCCCGCGCUUCCCCUCCUCCCCGUCACCCUACCAGGCGCCCGCCUCGCCCGCCGCGGCCCCGGCCGCCGUCCUCGUCGGUGCUGGCGGGGUCGGAGGCGGCAGGCCCUUCUCGGUCCGUGCGCCCAACAAGAAGAUCAUCAUGUACUCGCCGGUCUUCUGCGCCGCCUGCACCACCGGGGGGAUCGGCAGCUGCGGGCUCACCCACAUGGCCAUCACCCCGCUCGACCUCGUCAAGUGCAACAUGUAG
Molecule: ribosomal RNA, 324 nt
Filed under: Triticum aestivum (bread wheat)
Lineage: Eukaryota; Viridiplantae; Streptophyta; Magnoliopsida; Poales; Poaceae
Description: partial small subunit ribosomal RNA
Source: RNAcentral